GGGGCGGGGUGCUUACCAUGCAGUCGAACGAUGAACCACUUCGGUGGGGAUUAGUGGCGAACGGGUGAGUAACACGUGGGCAAUCUGCCCUGCACUCUGGGACAAGCCCUGGAAACGGGGUCUAAUACCGGAUACUGACCCGCUUGGGCAUCCAAGCGGUUCGAAAGCUCCGGCGGUGCAGGAUGAGCCCGCGGCCUAUCAGCUUGUUGGUGAGGUAAUGGCUCACCAAGGCGACGACGGGUAGCCGGCCUGAGAGGGCGACCGGCCACACUGGGACUGAGACACGGCCCAGACUCCUACGGGAGGCAGCAGUGGGGAAUAUUGCACAAUGGGCGAAAGCCUGAUGCAGCGACGCCGCGUGAGGGAUGACGGCCUUCGGGUUGUAAACCUCUUUCAGCAGGGAAGAAGCGAAAGUGACGGUACCUGCAGAAGAAGCGCCGGCUAACUACGUGCCAGCAGCCGCGGUAAUACGUAGGGCGCGAGCGUUGUCCGGAAUUAUUGGGCGUAAAGAGCUCGUAGGCGGCUUGUCACGUCGGUUGUGAAAGCCCGGGGCUUAACCCCGGGUCUGCAGUCGAUACGGGCAGGCUAGAGUUCGGUAGGGGAGAUCGGAAUUCCUGGUGUAGCGGUGAAAUGCGCAGAUAUCAGGAGGAACACCGGUGGCGAAGGCGGAUCUCUGGGCCGAUACUGACGCUGAGGAGCGAAAGCUGGAGGAA
RNAcentral lists this ribosomal RNA (713 nucleotides) under Streptomyces griseorubens. Its description in RNAcentral is "bacterial SSU rRNA". It matches the Rfam family "Bacterial small subunit ribosomal RNA", at positions 38 to 768 of the family's 1533-position model. Lineage: Bacteria; Bacillati; Actinomycetota; Actinomycetes; Kitasatosporales; Streptomycetaceae. The record is from RNAcentral.